GAUAAAAUACGACUACAAGUGCUUUAAAUGGCUUAAAAAACGACCCAUCUUCUGAUGAGUACAUUAGCGAAGUAAUUUUCAAAAUAAACCUUGUCUAAACCGAGAAAAUCAAAGCUAAAGUUUAUGUAAAUUAACAUGAUUUUUUAUCACAUAUAAAGAUACGACACGCUUAUGAUUUUUCUUUGUGUCUUCCUCCUGAAUUAUUAAUGAGUUUUUUAAAGCUAUUUAAAAUUGUAACUAGAGAUCCAG
Molecule: non-coding RNA, 249 nt
Organism: Paramuricea clavata
Lineage: Eukaryota; Metazoa; Cnidaria; Anthozoa; Malacalcyonacea; Plexauridae
Source: the annotation of a GenBank genome assembly